AGCACUAGAUUUAAAUGACGAGUAAUUUAGAUGAUUAAUUUAUUUUGUGGUUAAUAGAAGUAUGACUCUUAUUUUAAAUUAGGAGUGGGCCACACCCACUACUCCUCUAUCGGUUAUGUACAGGAUUAGGGUAAAAUUAAUAAGGACUAGUAGUUUAUUCUCCAAACUCUAAGAAGCCCAAAAAAAAAAAAAAAAAAGAGGAACGAAUUCUAAGAGAAAUUUGAAAAGGACGAGCACUCCAGAUUUGGACCUUUCGAAAGCUUUAUGGAAGGGCAAGAUCUUGGCAAAUAAGCUUGUGUUUGACUUCUUUGAUUGAGUGCAAAAAAUGUUCUAGCGGCUCAGACAUGUCUUGAACUCUAGAAUUUGAUUGUGGAUCUUGAUCUAAGGGGGACC
Long non-coding RNA from Capsicum annuum, 393 nucleotides. RefSeq lists it as uncharacterized. The record is from RefSeq and is a predicted model, not a curated record. NCBI's taxonomy places the organism in Eukaryota, Viridiplantae, Streptophyta, Magnoliopsida, Solanales, Solanaceae. The transcript is spliced from 3 exons.